This 1430-nucleotide ribosomal RNA is filed under the name Lactiplantibacillus plantarum. RNAcentral's name for it is "bacterial SSU rRNA". It matches the Rfam family "Bacterial small subunit ribosomal RNA". Lineage: Bacteria; Bacillati; Bacillota; Bacilli; Lactobacillales; Lactobacillaceae. The record is from RNAcentral.
GUCGAACGAACUCUGGUAUUGAUUGGUGCUUGCAUCAUGAUUUACAUUUGAGUGAGUGGCGAACUGGUGAGUAACACGUGGGAAACCUGCCCAGAAGCGGGGGAUAACACCUGGAAACAGAUGCUAAUACCGCAUAACAACUUGGACCGCAUGGUCCGAGNUUGAAAGAUGGCUUCGGCUAUCACUUUUGGAUGGUCCCGCGGCGUAUUAGCUAGAUGGUGGGGUAACGGCUCACCAUGGCAAUGAUACGUAGCCGACCUGAGAGGGUAAUCGGCCACAUUGGGACUGAGACACGGCCCAAACUCCUACGGGAGGCAGCAGUAGGGAAUCUUCCACAAUGGACGAAAGUCUGAUGGAGCAACGCCGCGUGAGUGAAGAAGGGUUUCGGCUCGUAAAACUCUGUUGUUAAAGAAGAACAUAUCUGAGAGUAACUGUUCAGGUAUUGACGGUAUUUAACCAGAAAGCCACGGCUAACUACGUGCCAGCAGCCGCGGUAAUACGUAGGUGGCAAGCGUUGUCCGGAUUUAUUGGGCGUAAAGCGAGCGCAGGCGGUUUUUUAAGUCUGAUGUGAAAGCCUUCGGCUCAACCGAAGAAGUGCAUCGGAAACUGGGAAACUUGAGUGCAGAAGAGGACAGUGGAACUCCAUGUGUAGCGGUGAAAUGCGUAGAUAUAUGGAAGAACACCAGUGGCGAAGGCGGCUGUCUGGUCUGUAACUGACGCUGAGGCUCGAAAGUAUGGGUAGCAAACAGGAUUAGAUACCCUGGUAGUCCAUACCGUAAACGAUGAAUGCUAAGUGUUGGAGGGUUUCCGCCCUUCAGUGCUGCAGCUAACGCAUUAAGCAUUCCGCCUGGGGAGUACGGCCGCAAGGCUGAAACUCAAAGGAAUUGACGGGGGCCCGCACAAGCGGUGGAGCAUGUGGUUUAAUUCGAAGCUACGCGAAGAACCUUACCAGGUCUUGACAUACUAUGCAAAUCUAAGAGAUUAGACGUUCCCUUCGGGGACAUGGAUACAGGUGGUGCAUGGUUGUCGUCAGCUCGUGUCGUGAGAUGUUGGGUUAAGUCCCGCAACGAGCGCAACCCUUAUUAUCAGUUGCCAGCAUUAAGUUGGGCACUCUGGUGAGACUGCCGGUGACAAACCGGAGGAAGGUGGGGAUGACGUCAAAUCAUCAUGCCCCUUAUGACCUGGGCUACACACGUGCUACAAUGGAUGGUACAACGAGUUGCGAACUCGCGAGAGUAAGCUAAUCUCUUAAAGCCAUUCUCAGUUCGGAUUGUAGGCUGCAACUCGCCUACAUGAAGUCGGAAUCGCUAGUAAUCGCGGAUCAGCAUGCCGCGGUGAAUACGUUCCCGGGCCUUGUACACACCGCCCGUCACACCAUGAGAGUUUGUAACACCCAAAGUCGGUGGGGUAACCUUUUAGGAACCAGCCGC